RNAcentral lists this ribosomal RNA (109 nucleotides) under Ochotona princeps (American pika). Lineage: Eukaryota; Metazoa; Chordata; Mammalia; Lagomorpha; Ochotonidae. The record is from RNAcentral.
GUCUACGGCCAUACCACCCUGAACGCGCCCGAUCUCGUCUGAUCUCGGAAGCUAAGCAGGGUCGGGCCUGGUUAGUACUUGGAUGGGAGGAGAGACAGAGAGGAAGAUC